RNAcentral lists this ribosomal RNA (433 nucleotides) under uncultured bacterium. RNAcentral's name for it is "partial 16S ribosomal RNA". It matches the Rfam family "Bacterial small subunit ribosomal RNA", at positions 29 to 507 of the family's 1533-position model. The record is from RNAcentral.
AACGAACGCUGGCGGCAUGCCUAACACAUGCAAGUCGAACGAGACCUUCGGGUCUAGUGGCGCACGGGUGCGUAACGCGUGGGAACCUGCCCUUAGGUUCGGAAUAACUCCCCGACAGGGGUGCUAAUACCGGAUAAUUUCUUCGGACCAAAGAUUUAUCGCCUUUGGAUGGGCCCGCGUUGGAUUAGCUAGUUGGUAGGGUAAAAGCCUACCAAGGCGACGAUCCAUAGCUGGUCUGAGAGGAUGAUCAGCCACACUGGGACUGAGACACGGCCCAGACUCCUACGGGAGGCAGCAGUGGGGAAUAUUGGACAAUGGGCGAAAGCCUGAUCCAGCAAUGCCGCGUGAGUGAUGAAGGCCUUAGGGUUGUAAAGCUCUUUUACCCGGGAUGAUAAUGACAGUACCGGGAGAAUAAGCUCCGGCUAACUCCGUG